This 253-nucleotide ribosomal RNA is filed under the name uncultured bacterium. Its description in RNAcentral is "partial 16S ribosomal RNA". It matches the Rfam family "Bacterial small subunit ribosomal RNA", at positions 524 to 776 of the family's 1533-position model. The record is from RNAcentral.
UACGUAGGGUGCGAGCGUUAAUCGGAAUUACUGGGCGUAAAGGGUGCGCAGGCGGCGUCGCAAGUCAGGCGUGAAAUCCCCGGGCUUAACCUGGGAAUGGCACUUGAAACUACGAUGCUGGAGUAUGGCAGAGGGAGGUGGAAUUCCACGUGUAGCGGUGAAAUGCGUAGAGAUGUGGAGGAACACCGAUGGCGAAGGCAGCCUUCUGGGCCAAUACUGACGCUCAUGCACGAAAGCGUGGGGAGCAAACAGG